This 460-nucleotide ribosomal RNA is filed under the name uncultured bacterium. RNAcentral describes it as "partial 16S ribosomal RNA". It matches the Rfam family "Bacterial small subunit ribosomal RNA", at positions 338 to 795 of the family's 1533-position model. The record is from RNAcentral.
CCUACGGGAGGCAGCAGUGAGGAAUAUUGGUCAAUGGACGCAAGCCUGAACCAGCCAAGUCGCGUGCAGGAUGACUGCCCUACGGGUUGUAAACUUCUUUUGUAAAGGGAUAAAGUGAGGCACGUGUGCCUUUUUGUAUGUACUUUAUGAAUAAGGAUCGGCUAACUCCGUGCCAGCAGCCGCGGUAAUACGGAGGAUCCGAGCGUUAUCCGGAUUUAUUGGGUUUAAAGGGAGCGUAGACGGUGUGGUAAGUCAGUUGUGAAAGUUUGAGGCUCAACCGUAAAAUUGCAAUUGAUACUGGUAGUCUUGAGUAUAGUUGAGGUAGGCGGAAUGUGUGGUGUAGCGGUGAAAUGCUUAGAUAUCAUGAAGAACUCCGAUUGCGAAGGCAGCUUACCAAACUGCCACUGACAUUGAGGCUCGAAAGUGUGGGUAUCAAACAGGAUUAGAUACCCGGGUAGUC